Molecule: ribosomal RNA, 253 nt
Filed under: uncultured bacterium
Lineage: Bacteria
Description: partial 16S ribosomal RNA
Rfam family: Bacterial small subunit ribosomal RNA
Source: RNAcentral
UACGAAGGGGGCGAGCGUUGUUCGGAAUUACUGGGCGUAAAGGGCGCGUAGGCGGCGCUGCAAGUCGGGGGUGAAAGGCCUGGGCUCAACCUGGGAAUGGCCUCCGAGACUGUGGUGCUUGAGACCGGGAGAGGCGAGUGGAAUUCCCAGUGUAGAGGUGAAAUUCGUAGAUAUUGGGAAGAACACCAGUGGCGAAGGCGGCUCGCUGGACCGGAUCUGACGCUGAGGCGCGAAAGCGUGGGGAGCAAACAGG